This is a long non-coding RNA of Triticum dicoccoides, 681 nucleotides long. RefSeq lists it as uncharacterized. The transcript is spliced from 4 exons. The record is from RefSeq and is a predicted model, not a curated record. Lineage: Eukaryota; Viridiplantae; Streptophyta; Magnoliopsida; Poales; Poaceae.
CCCAGGCCCUCGAACCUCCCCACGCCUCAACCCCUCUCCAUCGCUCUCCACGCCGGUGGCUCUCAGGCCCUCGCCGCGUACGCGUGCUCCCCGGCCGGUGCCUCUCCUGCACUGCCCCAAACCGGCAAGCCGAACAUCACGCACCAAUCCGUCUGCACCUCGUCGCUCGCGGCUAACACCGCUGGAGGCGGAGGCGCUACUGCGGUGCUGCCCCCGCGCGAUUCCACGACGAGGACGCCACCUGCGAACCGCUGCUACGGAUCCUCACGCUUGCCAUCACCAGUCAUAUGGUCUUGUCUCCGGUCGUCAAGACACCCACCCUCCUUGGCUGCUGCUGCUGCUGCCGGCGGCACCAUUGUCCUUCAUCUCGAUCCGGUCCCGGCGAGGAACUCAUAGCCGCCGACCACUCGAAGGAACUAACACCACCUCCAUCAAGGAAAACAAUGACCAAUGUGAUUAGAAAUGUGUGCUUGCUUCUUCAUGAAGAGCCAGAAAAGCCUCACCAAAGAGAAGUAUAGACGUUGAUGCAAAUUUAUGAAUCACUGUCACCAACAGAUCCACACGUUUGGUCUGCAGCUUCUAUCAACUGCACCUUCUAUCAUGUCCGAUUGAUGAUUCCUUGUAGUGGGAGGGGAGGAUAUUUGAUCUGAGUAUGCGAGAGAGGAGGAGCAAGACGGAAUU